This is a long non-coding RNA of Balaenoptera ricei (Rice's whale), 762 nucleotides long. RefSeq lists it as uncharacterized. NCBI's taxonomy places the organism in Eukaryota, Metazoa, Chordata, Mammalia, Artiodactyla, Balaenopteridae. The transcript is spliced from 3 exons. The record is from RefSeq and is a predicted model, not a curated record.
GCUGAAUUGGCCUAGGAGGCAGCCCGCUUCCUGGGGGUGGGGAGGACGCGAAGGGAGUGAAGAGAGAUCCCUAUGGCUGUUGGGAAGACUCCCCCGCCCCGGUUCUUCCCCGCCGCCUCCGGCAAUCCCGGCAGAACCGAAAGAGUCCCACACCGCGAUGGAGAGGCCUGAGGAAGUUCCCAGAAAACGGGAAGGUCACAGCUGAGUGGUGCUCUGGGGAAGCCAACUGCCAUGUCAUGAGGAUACCCAAGUAGUCUAUAGAGAAACCCACAUGGAUGGCGAGGAACCGACGCUUCUGGCCAUCAGCCACAUAAGAGAGUUUAGAAGUGGAUCCUCCAGCCCCAGUCAAGCCUCAGAUGACUGCAAACCCAGCUGACACCUUGACUGCAGUCUUGUGAGAGGCCCCCUAAUCAGAACCACCCACCUAAGCUGCUCCUGGAUUGCUGGCCCACAGAAACGGGGAUUCCCUGGUGGCGCAGUGGCUAAGGAUCGGCUUGCCAGUGCAGGGGACACGGGUUCAAGCCCUGGUCCAGGAAGAUCCCACAUGCUGCCCGUGCGCCACAACUACUGAGCCUGUGCUGUAGAGCCUGUGAGCCACAACUACUGAAGCCCGUGAGCCACAACUACUGAAGCCCGUGCGCCUAGAGCCCAUGCUCCGCAACAAGAGAAGCCACUGCAAUGAGAAGCCCAGGUACCGCAACCAAGAGUGGCCCCCGCUCGCCACAACUAGAGAAAGCCUGCACGCAGCAAUGAAGACACAAC